This 437-nucleotide ribosomal RNA is filed under the name uncultured bacterium. Its description in RNAcentral is "bacterial SSU rRNA". It matches the Rfam family "Bacterial small subunit ribosomal RNA", at positions 43 to 524 of the family's 1533-position model. The record is from RNAcentral.
CAGGCCUAACACAUGCAAGUCGAGCGCAUGUCUUCGGACAUGAGCGGCAGACGGGUGAGUAACACGUGGGAAUCUACCUUUUGCUACGGAACAACUCCGGGAAACUGGAGCUAAUACCGUAUGUGCCCUUCGGGGGAAAGAUUUAUCGGCAAGGGAUGAGCCCGCGUCGGAUUAGCUAGUUGGUGGGGUAAAGGCCUACCAAGGCGACGAUCCGUAGCUGGUCUGAGAGGAUGAUCAGCCACACUGGGACUGAGACACGGCCCAGACUCCUACGGGAGGCAGCAGUGGGGAAUAUUGGACAAUGGGCGAAAGCCUGAUCCAGCCAUGCCGCGUGAGUGAUGAAGGCCUUAGGGUUGUAAAGCUCUUUUAUCCGGGAAGAUAAUGACUGUACCGGAAGAAUAAGCCCCGGCUAACUUCGUGCCAGCAGCCGCGGUAAU